Non-coding RNA from Peromyscus maniculatus bairdii (prairie deer mouse), 591 nucleotides. Lineage: Eukaryota; Metazoa; Chordata; Mammalia; Rodentia; Cricetidae. The record is from RefSeq and is a predicted model, not a curated record.
UGAUUAUGGUUUCUCAUUCCUCUAGUUCUUCCAGCUCCUGCUCUCUUGCCCCCUCUCUGUCUGUCAUCAGAACGAAGAAGCUUCUAAAGGACAACAGUAAAAUAAACAAAAACCAACACACUGGAACGGGAUGAAAUGAUUGAGGGCAAAGCGCCCAAGAGAAGAUAGAGAUGCCGAGACCUGCUCAUGCUCACACUCAGAAUCCCAUAAAAAAUACUAAACUGGAAGCCAUAACAUAUAUGCAAAGGACCUGUAGGGCAAAAGGGAGAGAAGAAAAAAAUAUGAUGUUUUCAUCUCCCUGAACAGCAACUGUGCCACUGCCGCCGCCGCCGCCGCCGCCGCCGCCGCCGCCGCCACCGGCCACCAUGCCUCCUAUGCCCUGCCCUUCCCACCUCACCCCCCCCCCCUCUACUGACGUGCCUGGGACAGACAUUUCAUACAUAAAUAAUACUGCACAUGGUCUUUGUAGCUGCCUUCUUUUGUUUAACAUAUCUUCACGGUCAAUCUUAUAGUAGCAUGUAUUAAUUAGUUGUUACGUGUUAGGCCCUCAAAACACACAGCUAAAUAUAAUAAAAUAUAUUUAUUUUUAAA